This 1253-nucleotide long non-coding RNA is filed under the name Heterocephalus glaber (naked mole-rat). RNAcentral's name for it is "lncRNA (ENSHGLG00000050570.1)". Lineage: Eukaryota; Metazoa; Chordata; Mammalia; Rodentia; Bathyergidae. The record is from RNAcentral.
GGUCUCUGGACAGCUGGCCUCACUUUCUCUUUCAAGUGCAGAUGGCUGGGGGUCCCUGCAAGGGGACCGUGGGUCCCAGCGUGGGCACUACUGUACCUGCCCUGUGCCAGGUGGCCACCACACGCCCCAUCCUCUGCAGGAGGAUGGCAGUGGUCCGAAAGAGGGCACCUCCGUCUGAGCCUCCGUGGAGAGAAGUUACUGUUCCUCUUACCAAAAUGCCUUACACAUUCCUCACAAAUAAACCAACGACACAGAGUUCCCAGGCCCAACUUCUAGAGGCUCCAAGAGAAGCCAUUGGAGACGAUCAUCUUCCAGACGCCGCUGCACAAGAACCUGUCACAUUUGGAAAACACUAUUCCCAGAGUGGCCCAGCAGCCUCCACAGAUGCCAGAGUGCCUGUGACCUGACACAUGGGCCUGGGUGCCCGGGGAGGCCGGGAUGUGGGUGCCACCGCCAGCCAGUGCAAUUGUCGAGUUUCUCCUCAGUGGGGUGGGGGUGGGACAAGGCCAGAUGGGGGUGGGGAGUUCGGGGACCCUUGGAAGCCAGAGCCCAGCCCCUCAAGGCCACAGCCCCUCCCCCUGAGUCACCACAUGGAACUGUGUGUGACCUCCCUGGAUGUUGAUGCCAUUAAACCAACGUGUUGCCCGGCGCUGAGUCUCAUGUCUCCUGCUGGGGGCUGCCUAGCAUAGCGCAGGUCUGGGUUUCUCAGCAGGUAGAGGGCCUGAGGCAUCCUGAUGCCCAAGCAUCUGUUACUUAGCAGGCUCCGGUAUCCACCAGGCAGUGGAAGCAGGACCUGUGACACUGAGCCCUGACUCAGGUCCUGCAGCAGAGCUGGGGUGGCCCAGGUGGUGGAAGGCAGGGAACUCUGGGAGAACAAGGGUCACUAUCCUAUGCCCAGGAUUAGUGAGACCCAGGGCCGGGUCUCCUAUUCCACCUCACUGGCAAAAGCCAGCUCAGACUUUGCGACGUGGGACCGAGAGUUCUUGGUGGCUUGAGACAGUGUGGUCCACGGAGACAUUGGCCCUGAGGUGGUGCUGCUUCUCCAAGUGACAGCCCAGAAGAGAUUGGAACAGCUGCAGGACACAGUGCCUCGUGUCCAGCAGGCGGUGCCCAGGAGCUGCUUGAGCAAAUGUUGGUCCACAUCCCUAUCCAGACUCUAGGUGUUGGGCAGUUUGAUAGGCCAUACUAGGCUGGGGGUAGCUGGCACCUAGGUGGCAGCUCCUGGAAGAUAGCAGCCUAAGGGGCAGCUGGGC